RNAcentral lists this transfer RNA (63 nucleotides) under Dactylogyrus lamellatus. Its description in RNAcentral is "tRNA-Val". The record is from RNAcentral. Lineage: Eukaryota; Metazoa; Platyhelminthes; Monogenea; Dactylogyridea; Dactylogyridae.
GUUUGAGUAGUUUAAUUAGAAUGUCUAUUUUACACGUAGUUGGCGGGUUUAACCCCUUAAAUA